Molecule: ribosomal RNA, 934 nt
Filed under: bacterium
Lineage: Bacteria
Description: bacterial SSU rRNA
Rfam family: Bacterial small subunit ribosomal RNA
Source: RNAcentral
CGUGUUAAACAGACGCUGCGUGAACAUACCCUCUUACCUGCGGAAUAGCUCCGGGAAACUGGAAUUAAUACCGCAUACGCCCUACGGGGGAAAGAUUUAUCGGGGAAGGAUUGGCCCGCGUUGGAUUAGCUAGUUGGAGGGGUAAAGGCCUACCAAGGCGACGAUCCAUAGCUGGUCUGACAGGAUGAUCAGCCACAUUGGGACUGAGACACGGGCCACACUCCUACGGGAGGCAGCAGCGGGGAAUAUUGCACAAUGGGCGCAAGCCUGAUCCAGUCAUGCCGCGUGAGUGAUGAAGGCCUUAGGGUUGUAAAGCUCUUUCACCGAUGAAGAUAAUGACGGUAGCUGGAGAAGAAGCCCCGGCUAACUUCGUGCCAACAGCCGCGGUAAUACGAAGGGGGCUAGCGUUGUUCGGAAUUACUGGGCGUAAAGCGCACGUAGGCGGAUAUUUAAGUCAGGGGUGAAAUCCCGCAGCUCAACUGCGGAACUGCCUUUGAUACUGGGUAUCUUGAGUAUGGAAGAGGUAAGUGGAAUUCCGAGUGUAGAGGUGAAAUUCGUAGAUAUUCGGAGGAACACCAGUGGCGAAGGCGGCUUACUGGUCCAUUACUGACGCUGAGGUGCGAAAGCGUGGGGAGCAAACAGGAUUACAUACCCUGGUAGUCCACGCCGUAAACGAUGAAUGUUAGCCGUCGCGCAGUAUACUGUUCGGUGGCGCAGCUAACGCAUUAAACAUUCCGCCUGGGGAGUACGGUCGCAAGAUUAAAACUCAAAGGAAUUGACGAGGGUCCGCACAAGCGGAGGAGCAUGUGGGUUUAAAUUCGAAGCAACGCGUAGAAGCCGUGACCAGCUCUUGACAUGCGGGAUAUGGUCAUUUGUAGACGAUGUCCUUCAAGUCAUGCCUGGACUCCUAUGAAACAAGGUGGCCUGACAAUUG